Molecule: long non-coding RNA, 689 nt
Organism: Erigeron canadensis
Lineage: Eukaryota; Viridiplantae; Streptophyta; Magnoliopsida; Asterales; Asteraceae
Exons: 3
Source: RefSeq, a predicted model, not a curated record
CAUUUUACUCAGGAGCAAGAAAAUUGUUGGGUAAACAAUCAAUAAAUUUGAUAUAUAUUCAAGACAAUAUUUUAUAUGUAGGCGGUACAUCUGUAGAUGGAACAGCAGGAAAGGUAUUCUUUCUAUCAAGCAGAACUGUAAUAGGAUCAUUACAUACGGGAUUCGAUAUACAGUUCUUGGCUGUGAAUAAUGAUUUUAUAUUUGGAGCCACAAAAAAUUGGAUACAUGAUCAAGACAAAAAAAUGGGAUAAUUGAGGUGUGGUUGAAAGAAAGGUUGACAUGAGUUGCUUCCAUCAAGAAUGCCAAAAUCACAUCCCUGGCCUCAGAUCCUGAUGGAGAAAUGCUCUUUGCCUGUUCUUCUGAUGGAAGAGUCCAGACUUGGGAUUUAGAUUGAAGAUAACUGAGAAGAUAGAAGAUAGAUGACUCGGCGUGGAUUUGGACUUGGUUAAAUGGCUAAACCCAUUAUCUAGCUAAACAUGUUCCUCUAAAGUUAACCUAGGUGUUCCUACUUGUAGAGUUGUAGUAAAUAAUCUACAAUGCAUGCCCUGUGUAUAUGGGUAACAAUCGUGAAUUUUGACCUAUUUGACAAUGUUUGACUUUCGUUGACUAUGUGAUUAAUUGUAACACUCAUGGUGAUGGAUCCGUUAACUUUCGUUAAUUAUGCAUGUAACAUUUGCCUUUUCUUUUCG